RNAcentral lists this ribosomal RNA (253 nucleotides) under uncultured bacterium. Its description in RNAcentral is "partial 16S ribosomal RNA". It matches the Rfam family "Bacterial small subunit ribosomal RNA", at positions 524 to 776 of the family's 1533-position model. The record is from RNAcentral.
UACGUAGGUGGCAAGCGUUGUCCGGAUUUACUGGGCGUAAAGGGCGUGCAGGUGGUCUGUUAAGUUCAGGGUGAAAGCUCCCGGCUCAACUGGGAGAGGUCCUUGGAUACUGGCAGACUUGAGGGAGGUAGAGGAGAGUGGAAUUCCCGGUGUAGUGGUGAUAUGCGUAGAUAUCGGGAGGAACACCAAUAGCGAAGGCAGCUCGCUGGGACGUUACUGACACUGAGGCGCGAAAGCGUGGGGAGCGAACAGG